This 656-nucleotide ribosomal RNA is filed under the name uncultured archaeon. RNAcentral describes it as "bacterial SSU rRNA". It matches the Rfam family "Archaeal small subunit ribosomal RNA", at positions 261 to 921 of the family's 1478-position model. The record is from RNAcentral.
UUAUCGGUACGGGUUGUGGGAGCAAGAUCCUGGAGAUGGAUUCUGAGACAUGAAUCCAGGCCCUACGGGGCGCAGCAGGCGCGCAAACUUUACAAUGCGAGCAAUCGUGAUAAGGAAACCCUGAGUGCCUGUCGAUGCAGGCUGUUCAUAUAUUUAAAUUGUAUGUGAAGAAAGGGCAGGGCAAGACCGGUGCCAGCCGCCGCGGUAAUACCGGCUGCUCGAGUGAUGGCCACUAUUACUGGGUUUAAAGCGUCCGUAGCUUGAUUUUUAGGUCUCUUGGGAAAUCUUUUGGCUUAACCACAAGGCGUCUAAGAGAUACCGGGAAUCUUGGAACUGGGAGAGGUAAGCCGUACUUCGGGGGUAGGAGUGAAAUCUUGUAAUCCUCGAGGGACGACCUAUGGCGAAGGCAGCUUACCAGAACAGCUUCGACAGUGAGGGACGAAAGCUGGGGGAGCAAACGGGAUUAGAUACCCCGGUAGUCCCAGCCGUAAACAAUGUGCGUUAGGUGUGUCGGUUAUCACGCGUAACUGAUGCGCCGAAGAGAAAUCGUGAAACGCAUCACCUGGGAAGUACGGUCGCAAGGCUGAAACUUAAAGGAAUUGGCGGGGGAGCACCACAACAGGUGGAGCCUGCGGUUUAAUUGGAUUCAACGCCGG